This 300-nucleotide ribosomal RNA is filed under the name uncultured Carnobacterium sp. RNAcentral describes it as "bacterial SSU rRNA". It matches the Rfam family "Bacterial small subunit ribosomal RNA", at positions 497 to 795 of the family's 1533-position model. The record is from RNAcentral. Lineage: Bacteria; Bacillati; Bacillota; Bacilli; Lactobacillales; Carnobacteriaceae.
CUACGUACGUGCCCGCGGUCGUGGUAAGACGUAGGUGGCAAGCGUUGUCCCGAAGUUUGGGGCCUAAUGCGCGCGCACGCGGUCCUUUAAGUCUGGUGUGAAAGGCCACGGCUCAACCGUGGAGGGUCAUUGGAAACUGGGGGACGUGAGUGCAGAAGAGGAAAGCGGAAUUCCACGUGUAGCGGUGAAAUGCGUAGGGAUGUGGAGGAACACCGGUGGCGAAGGCGGCUUUCUGGGCUGUAGCUGACGCGGAGGAGCGAAAGCGUGGGGAGCAAACAGGAUGAGAUACCCCUGGUAGUC